GACUCUCGGCAACGGAUAUCUCGGCUCUCGCAUCGAUGAAGAACGUAGCGAAAUGCGAUACUUGGUGUGAAUUGCAGAAUCCCGUGAACCAUCGAGUCUUUGAACGCAAGUUGCGCCCGAAGCCACUAGGCCGAGGGCACGCCUGCCUGGGCGUCACAC
RNAcentral lists this ribosomal RNA (159 nucleotides) under Mespilus germanica (medlar). Its description in RNAcentral is "5.8S ribosomal RNA". It matches the Rfam family "5.8S ribosomal RNA". Rfam says of the family: 5.8S ribosomal RNA (5.8S rRNA) is a component of the large subunit of the eukaryotic ribosome. The record is from RNAcentral. Lineage: Eukaryota; Viridiplantae; Streptophyta; Magnoliopsida; Rosales; Rosaceae. RNAcentral also lists the same sequence under 3 other names.